UGUUAGUCGAGCGGCUGACAGGAAGCAGCUUGCUCGCUUUCGCUGACGAGUGGGGGACGGGAGAAUCAUGUGUGGGAACCUGCCUGAUGACUGGGGAUAACUACUGGAAACGGUAGCUAAUACCGAUUAACGUCGCAAGACCAAAGAGGGGGACCUUCGGGCCUCUUGCCAUCGGAUGUGCCCAGAUGGGAUUAGCUAGUAGGUGGGGUAACGGCUCACCGAGGCGACGAUCCCUAGAUGGUCUGAGAGGAUGACCAGCCGCACUGGAACUGAGACACGGACCAGACUCCUACAGGAGGCCGCAAGGGGGAAUAUUGCACACUGCGCGCAAGCCUGAUGCACCCAUGCCGCGUGUAUGAAGAAGGCCUUCGGGUUGUCAAGUACUUUCACCGGGGAGGAAGGGAGUAAAGUUAAUACCUUUGCUCGUUGACGUUACCCGCAGAAUAAGCCCCGGCUACCUCCGUGCCUACAUCCCCGGUAAUACGGAGGGUGCAAGCGGUAAUCGGAAUUACUGAGCGUAAGGCGCACGCAGGCGGGUUGUUAAUUCAAAUGUGAAAUCCCCGGGCUCACCCUGUCAACUGCAUCUGAUACUGGCAAGCUUGAGUCUCUGAGAGGGGAGUAGAAUUCCGGGAGUACCGGUGAAAUGCGUAGAGAUCUGGAGGAAUACCGGAGGCGAAGGCGGCCCCCUGGACGACUGACUGACGCUCAGGUGCUGAAAGCGUG
This 723-nucleotide ribosomal RNA is filed under the name Escherichia coli. RNAcentral describes it as "bacterial SSU rRNA". It matches the Rfam family "Bacterial small subunit ribosomal RNA", at positions 56 to 763 of the family's 1533-position model. The record is from RNAcentral. Lineage: Bacteria; Pseudomonadati; Pseudomonadota; Gammaproteobacteria; Enterobacterales; Enterobacteriaceae.